Molecule: ribosomal RNA, 460 nt
Filed under: uncultured bacterium
Lineage: Bacteria
Description: partial 16S ribosomal RNA
Rfam family: Bacterial small subunit ribosomal RNA
Source: RNAcentral
CCUACGGGAGGCAGCAGUGAGGAAUCUUGGUCAAUGGACGAGAGUCUGAACCAGCAAAGUAGCGUGAAGGAUGACUGCCCUAUGGGUUGUAAACUUCUUUUAUAUGGAAAUAAAAUGUUCCACGUGUGGGAUUUUGUAUGUACCAUAUGAAUAAGGAUCGGCUACAUCAGUGCCAGCAGCCGCGGUAAUACGGAGGAUCCGAGCGUUAUCCGGAUUUAUUGGGGUUAAAGGGAGCGUAGGUGGAUUGUUAAGUCAGUUGUGAAAGUUUGCGGCUCAACCGUAAAAUUGCAUUUGAAACUGGCAGUCUUGAGUACAGUAGAGGCGGGCGGAAUUCGUGGUGUAGCGGUGAAAGGCUUAGAUAUCACGAAGAACUCCUGUUGCGAAGGCAGCUCACUGGACUGCAACUGACACUGAGGCUCGAAAGUGUGGGUAUCAAACAGGAUUAGAUACCCUAGUAGUC